RNAcentral lists this long non-coding RNA (1350 nucleotides) under Carica papaya (papaya). Its description in RNAcentral is "long non-coding RNA (CPAP_LNC006573)". Lineage: Eukaryota; Viridiplantae; Streptophyta; Magnoliopsida; Brassicales; Caricaceae. The record is from RNAcentral.
AGUCAUCCUCUCGGCGAAAAUGGAAGCUGGUAGCGUUCAUGCCCGGCGAAGAAACUUCCUUCUCCAUGACAUCAGUUAAUGCACAGGUGAAUUCCUUCUAGGUUCUCGCUCUGCAUUUUUUAAGCCGCCGUUUUUAUAUUUUGGGUAGAAGGGAUGAAACUUGAAGACGAUGGCCUCUUACAGUAAGUAAAUUGCCGUUGAGAUUCUCGUAGGUAUAUUGAGUCAGUUGACAGUUCGACAAAAAAAACAAAAAAAAAAAAAAAUGAAGUAGAUGUCAGAAGUGGGAUUUGAACCCACGCUCUCUCACGAGAACCAGAACUUGAGUCUGGCGCCUUAGACCACUCGGCCAUCCUGACCUUGUGGUCCAACGGCUUCGUUUAAUUAACAUAUUAUUAAGAAAACAAAAAUAAUUAUUGGAAAAAUUAUGUAUUUUCAUAAAGGCACUAAUUAAAAUUUGAUUUGUUAAAAGUUAUUUUUAAAGAAAUUAAUAAUUAUUUUAUUUUAUUUUGUUCUAUAUUUGGACUUAGUCGCGUGUAAAUUAUUUAUCUAUGAUAAAAAAUAUUUUGUUAUAUAACAAGUUAUCGUAAUAUUAAAAAUAUUUUUUUUAUUUAUAUUUUCAUCUUCUUUUUUUUGUAAUAAAUUAUAAUAUUUUUUUAAAGAAAAAUUAAUAAUUUCUUUAUUUUAUACGAUCAAUUAUCGAGUACUUUCAUUAAUUUUAUGAAAAUAAUAAGUUUAUUUGAGCUAAUGGUAAAAAGAGGAAUACAUUUUAAUAUCAAUCAACUACAAAUUUUUAGAGCACUUGAAAAAAAAUUUCAUUUCAUAUAUUAUCAUCAACAGCAAUCUUGUCAUUGCUGAUUUUCUUGGCCUCCCCACUUCUUCAUGCGCUCUGUUGUUUGCUCCACCUGCAAGUCAAUCAUCUCCAAAUAUGUUCAUCGCUUUCUCUCUUGCCAAACAAGAAUGUCACAAUUAACUACGUUAAACCGGUAAAAGAGUAAUCGCUCUAUACGCAAAUAAAAACAAGACCAUCUUUUUGUUUCUAUCCGGAGAAAAAAUGGGUAUAAACUGUCUUUUUGAUUCGUUUAUCUGAUUCCGCUAAAAAUAAGUUCGACUGUUAGAAUUCUAUUGAAGCUUCAGCCGAAAUCAAGGUUGGAUUUCUGAAAGGUAAAGUGAAUUCUAACACUAACCUCCUUAUUCCAAUUGGUUUUGUAGACAACAAACAGGAGAAGCAGGGUUUGCAGUGCUGUCCCAGCUAUCAUUCCUCCCCAAAGUCCCUGCAAUAACAAAAACGAUUUUUCGGAAAAGACCCGAUUCUAAGUUUGCAUUCAAACCAAGAAGAACCAAAGAAGAAGA